Molecule: ribosomal RNA, 116 nt
Filed under: Lepisosteus oculatus (spotted gar)
Lineage: Eukaryota; Metazoa; Chordata; Actinopteri; Semionotiformes; Lepisosteidae
Source: RNAcentral
GCCAGCAGCUAUAUCCCCUGCAACUCUCAACUGGCUACCCACUGAAGCUAAGCAGGGUUGAACCUGGUUAGUACCUGGAUAGGAGACCUCCUGGGAAGCUAUGGUUGUGGCUAGAA